AGUGAACGCUGGCGGUAGGCCUAACACAUGCAAGUCGAACGGCAGCACAGUAAGAGCUUGCUCUUACGGGUGGCGAGUGGCGGACGGGUGAGGAAUACAUCGGAAUCUACUUUUUCGUGGGUGAUAACGUAGGGACACUUACGCUACUACCGCAUACGACCUACGGGUGAAAGCAGGAGAGCUUCGGACCUUGCGCGAUUGAAUGAGCCGAUGUCGGAUUAGCUAGUUGGCGUGGUAAAGGCCCACCAAGGCGACGAUCCGUAGCAGGUCUGAGAGGAUGAUCAGCCACACUGGAACUGAGACACGGUCCAGACUCCUACGGGAGGCAGCAGUGGGGAAUAUUGGACAAUGGGCGCAAGCCUGAUCCAGCAAUACCGCGUGGGUGAAGAAGGCCUUCGGGUUGUAAAGCCCUUUUGUUGGGAAAGAAAAGCAGCAGGUUAAUACCCCGCUGUUCUGACGGUACCCAAAGAAUAAGCACCGGCUAACUUCGUG
This 492-nucleotide ribosomal RNA is filed under the name uncultured bacterium. RNAcentral describes it as "partial 16S ribosomal RNA". It matches the Rfam family "Bacterial small subunit ribosomal RNA", at positions 29 to 507 of the family's 1533-position model. The record is from RNAcentral.